GUUUCGCCUUUUUUUUAAUUUUAAAAGACUAUUGUGGUAUUGAAAAAUACUAUAGUGCAAAAACCAUCCUCAUGUAGUAGAAUUUGUCUUUUAAUCGAAAAUUAAUCACGUUUAAAGUCAUCAAAAUUGUGAGAGCGUGUGUUGACUUCAGCAGUCAAGAAAUUGGUUUUGAGUUGUUGGAUUGGUCGUCUCGGUUAAGUAAAAUAUUAAUGGCGUCCGUGUAUAUCGGCGUACAAAUCUGUAGAUUCUCGUUUGUGCUGUGAAUAGUUACCAAUGAUUUGUAAAUUUCAUUCGCGAUGGAACUAAUUCAGUUAGAAGAAUGAAUCACCAUGUAUUGGAGGUCCCUCAGACAUGUCGAACAUAUAUUUCAGAUGCACAUUUUCUACGCCAUCCUAGGAAAAUCGUUUGACCAAUGAGAGAGAAUAUUUUUGCAAUCUUUAUAAAGUCCCAAAAUUGAAACGAGUAUUUCUGCCCCAAGAUGCUGGCCCCUCCCAAAAUACGAUCUCAGAGUCGGAAGAGGAUUGUGAUUGAAAUGGACAGCGGAAAGUCUAGUUCUCCCCUCAGUCGAAACGAAGCGGACGAAGAGAUGGAAGUAGGCGACUGCUCUGAGGAAGCGGAAGAAGAGGAGGAUGAAGACGAGGAGAAUGAAGAGCAAAACGAGAACGAAAAUGAAGAGGAAGAUGAGGAUGUUGUAAUGGCAGAGAGCUCUGCACCUCCACCCUCUGAGCCCACUUCAUCACCACCUGUAACAUACGAAGGGCUAGCUUCCCCUCUCCGCCUUCAUAUCACAUCAAGUGGCAAACCUCUUAGUCUGCACCGUGGUCGGGGUCGCCCGCGAAAAGAUGCCAGUUCUGCCGCAAACUCAGGGAAACCCAAAAAAUUGGGGCUUAAAUUAAACGGUGGAAAAGGUUUGUAACAUGAAAACAAAUUACAUUCAAGUCCAACUAUAGAAAAAUCUGAACUUAGUUUUUGAUUUAUUUUAAGAAGUAAAGUUUCCAAUUAAACUAUGGAGUUAACAGUAACUAUGUGGCUAUUGUAAGGUUAAACUGGUCGAAAC
Molecule: long non-coding RNA, 1057 nt
Filed under: Bemisia tabaci
Lineage: Eukaryota; Metazoa; Arthropoda; Insecta; Hemiptera; Aleyrodidae
Description: lncRNA ENSSSA1NGG001584
Source: RNAcentral